AAGUCGUAACAAGGUUUCUGUAGGUGAACCUGCAGAGGGAUCAUUAGUGAAAGUUUCGGGCCUGCCAUACGGACGCAAACACGUCUCUGGCGCCCAUCACUAUAUCCAUACCAACCCCUGUGCACUGUGAUGACGAAUGUCAUCGAACAAAAAAACUCGUAUGGUUGAAUGUACGUGAAAUUGUAGGUAUAGCCUACGAACUAUACACAA
Molecule: unclassified non-coding RNA, 210 nt
Filed under: plant metagenome
Description: partial contains small subunit ribosomal RNA and internal transcribed spacer 1
Rfam family: Eukaryotic small subunit ribosomal RNA (bases 1-46)
Source: RNAcentral